CUGAUGUAGCGUAAUUCAGUUAUAAAUUGAUUUAGAUUUCUUUUUAAUUCAACCCAUUUUCUUAAAUUCGAUGUAUAAAACUUAAUGGGUUUCUUCAGUUUCGUAUUUUUAGUUCAUUGUUUGUGUCUUAAUUUGAAUUGAUGGUGUUAAUUUGAGUUGAUUGAAAUCGGUGGAAGAAAGUUCUAACCCGAACUUGGUACAUCUUUUUCUUAAUUAAAAUCCAGAUAAUCAAAGGAUAUGCUGAUCAUUUGAGAUGAAUUAAUAAUCGAUGAUGUUAAUUUGAUCAGCACCACCUUAACCAGGUUACUCAGCUUUUCGAGUUGACCUUAUUUGUUUAUUUAUUUUCAUACGUAUUAUUACUCUGCAGGUUACCCAGCUUGAUAUCCACCACUUUUUUCAUUCACUUGGAGCUGGAGUACUUGAAGAAGUUCGUGUCCAAUGAGAUAAAGGGUUUGGUUUUGUGAGAUACAGUACCCACGAAGAAGCAGCUGUAGGCAUUCAGUUGGGGAAUGCUAACAUGCUUUAUGGAAAGACAAUUAAGAAGGCAAUUGAAUGUAGGAGGGGGAUGUGAUGCUAAAAAUGAAGGGAACAAACCAUCUCAACAUAUCAAGUAUGACUGACAGCAGGCACCUCAUAAUGUGGUGUAGCUGAGAUUGAAUUCUAAUAUCCUUGAGAUCAGAACGUUGAGAUUCUUUUAAAAUGUAAUGGUCGUGGGGAGAUGUCAUUUUUGAGGGGAAAGUCAACAGCUACAACUAUUGAAGUUUAUGGAGGGGUGAACAGUAGGGUGUCAAACCCAUUGAUGAAGAUCAGAUGAUUCAGAUCCACUAUAGUGUCUUUAUAUCUAGAACUGAUUUCUACUUUUAGGUUAUGUUUUAUGUAUUUUUGUUUUAAUUAGAUGGAAUGGAUAAUGUUUUCUAUGAUAUACAGUUUUUAAUGAAUUUAAGUAAUGUUCAUUGGAUUUA
Molecule: long non-coding RNA, 962 nt
Organism: Papaver somniferum (opium poppy)
Lineage: Eukaryota; Viridiplantae; Streptophyta; Magnoliopsida; Ranunculales; Papaveraceae
Exons: 3
Source: RefSeq, a predicted model, not a curated record